CAGCCGCCACGGGAAUACGAAGGGGGCUAGCGUUGUUCGGAUUUACUGGGCGUAAAGCGCACGUAGGCGGACUUUUAAGUCAGGGGUGAAAUCCCGGGGCUCAACCCCGGAACUGCCUUUGAUACUGGAAGUCUUGAGUAUGGUAGAGGUGAGUGGAAUUCCGAGUGUAGAGGUGAAAUUCGUAGAUAUUCGGAGGAACACCAGUGGCGAAGGCGGCUCACUGGACCAUUACUGACGCUGAGGUGCGAAAGCGUGGGGAGCAAACAGGAUUAGAUACCCGGGUAGUCCCUGUCUCUUAUAC
Molecule: ribosomal RNA, 301 nt
Filed under: uncultured bacterium
Lineage: Bacteria
Description: partial 16S ribosomal RNA
Rfam family: Bacterial small subunit ribosomal RNA
Source: RNAcentral